UUAGUACUCUCUCCGUCCAAUAAAAAAUGUCUCAAUUUUGAUCAAAUUUGAAUGCAUCUAUACACUAAGUCAUGUCUAGAUACAUCUAAAUUUUGACAAACUUAAGACAUCUUUUAUUGGACAGAAAAAUUAUAGC
Brachypodium distachyon (stiff brome) is the source of this 136-nucleotide non-coding RNA. The record is from Rfam. NCBI's taxonomy places the organism in Eukaryota, Viridiplantae, Streptophyta, Magnoliopsida, Poales, Poaceae.